This 502-nucleotide ribosomal RNA is filed under the name uncultured bacterium. RNAcentral's name for it is "partial 16S ribosomal RNA". It matches the Rfam family "Bacterial small subunit ribosomal RNA", at positions 899 to 1397 of the family's 1533-position model. The record is from RNAcentral.
ACUCAAAUGAAUUGACGGGGACCCGCACAAGCGGUGGAGCAUGUUGUUCAAUUCGAAGCAACGCGAAGAACCUUACCUACCCUUGACAUGUCCAGUAUGGGGCCGAGAGAUCGGCUUCUUCAGUUCGGCUGGCUGGAACACAGGUGCUGCAUGGCUGUCGUCAGCUCGUGUCGUGAGAUGUUGGGUUAAGUCCCGCAACGAGCGCAACCCUCAUCGUCUGUUGCCAUCAGGUUAAGCUGGGCACUCUGACGAGACUGCCGGUGACAAGCCGGAGGAAGGCGGGGAUGACGUCAAGUCAUCAUGGCCCUUACGGGUAGGGCCACAAACGUGCUACAAUGGCGGUGACAGUGGGCCGCGAGGCAGUGAUGCCAAGCCAAUCCCAAAAAGCCGUCUCAGUUCAGAUUGUACUCUGCAACUCGAGUGCAUGAAGCUGGAAUCGCUAGUAAUCGUGGAUCAGCACGCCACGGUGAAUACGUUCCCGGGUCUUGCACACACCGCCCGU